CUUACUAAUGAUGAAUAGCUUUACCGCCCCAGUCUGACAUUUAUGAAUGAUUGGUAUUACUGAAUAUU
This is a non-coding RNA of Dendroctonus ponderosae (mountain pine beetle), 68 nucleotides long. The record is from Rfam. NCBI's taxonomy places the organism in Eukaryota, Metazoa, Arthropoda, Insecta, Coleoptera, Curculionidae.